AGUGAACGCUGGCGGUAGGCCUAACACAUGCAAGUCGAACGGCAGCACAGUAAGAGCUUGCUCUUACGGGUGGCGAGUGGCGGACGGGUGAGGAAUACAUCGGAAUCUACUUUUUCGUGGGGGAUAACGUAGGGAAACUUACGCUAAUACCGCAUACGACCUACGGGUGAAAGCAGGGGAUCUUCGGACCUUGCGCGAUUGAAUGAGCCGAUGUCGGAUUAGCUAGUUGGCGGGGUAAAGGCCCACCAAGGCGACGAUCCGUAGCUGGUCUGAGAGGAUGAUCAGCCACACUGGAACUGAGACACUGCCCAGACUCCUACGGGAGGCAGCAGUGGGGAAUAUUGGACAAUGGGCGCAAGCCUGAUCCAGCCAUACCGCGUGGGUGAAGAAGGCCUUCGGGUUGUAAAGCCCUUUUGUUGGGAAAGAAAAGCAGCAGGUUAAUACCCCGCUGUUCUGACGGUACCCAAAGAAUAAGCACCGGCUAACUUCGUG
RNAcentral lists this ribosomal RNA (492 nucleotides) under uncultured bacterium. Its description in RNAcentral is "partial 16S ribosomal RNA". It matches the Rfam family "Bacterial small subunit ribosomal RNA", at positions 29 to 507 of the family's 1533-position model. The record is from RNAcentral.